CUGCCACUUCCGGAGUACUGCGCCCUCCAUGGAAAACUCAACCUGGCUUCCUACCUCCCACCGGGCCUUGCCCUGCGUCCACUGGAGCCCCAGCUCUGGGCAGCCUAUGGUGUGAGCCCGCACCGGGGACACCUGGGGACCAAGAACCUCUGUGUGGAGGUGGCCGACCUGGUCAGCAUCCUGGUGCACGCCGACGCACCACUGCCUGCCUGGCACCGGGCACAGAAAGACUUCCUUUCAGGCCUGGACGGGGAGGGGCUCUGGUCUCCGGGCAGCCAGGUCAGCACUGUGUGGCACGUGUUCCGGGCACAGGACGCCCAGCGCAUCCGCCGCUUUCUCCAGAUGGUGAGGAGGCAGCCGGGAGCCCUCCCCUUCCCCCCGCCCAGCCCUAGAAGCUCGUCCAGUCCCACCCCAGUGUGCGGUCCCGUGUGCUCGCUCCCCGCCCCACGCCCUCAGGUGAGCUGCACAGACCCAACUCGCACAGACAGGUGCAGAGAAGGCAGAGGGGACCCGGAGUUCUGCCGUGGGGCCCAGAGAAGGGGCAGGGGCUGCGGCAGGAGAGC
RNAcentral lists this small RNA (563 nucleotides) under Pan troglodytes (chimpanzee). RNAcentral's name for it is "retained intron". The record is from RNAcentral. Lineage: Eukaryota; Metazoa; Chordata; Mammalia; Primates; Hominidae.